AGAAACAUCUAUGUGGAAGAUCUGAUCGAAGAGGUGGUUGUUAAUCCAGAGCAAGUCAUGGAAUGGCUCAGGAAAGGAGAAAAAAAACGACACUAUGGAGAAACAAAAAUGAAUGAACACAGCAGCCGUUCUCACACCAUUUUCAGAAUGAUUAUAGAAAGUAGGGAAAAUGACCCUGCCAACACGAACUGUGAUGGAGCAGUAAUGGUAUCUCAUCUGAACUUGGUAGAUCUGGCAGGCAGUGAAAGAGCUAGCCAAACAGGAUCAGAAGGU
Long non-coding RNA from Terrapene triunguis (Three-toed box turtle), 273 nucleotides. RefSeq lists it as uncharacterized. NCBI's taxonomy places the organism in Eukaryota, Metazoa, Chordata, Testudines, Emydidae. The transcript is spliced from 4 exons. The record is from RefSeq and is a predicted model, not a curated record.